AGAUUGAACGCUGGCGGCAGGCCUAACACAUGCAAGUCGAGCGGCAGCACGGGUACUUGUACCUGGUGGCGAGCGGCGGACGGGUGAGUAAUGCCUAGGAAUCUGCCUGGUAGUGGGGGAUAACGCUCGGAAACGGACGCUAAUACCGCAUACGUCCUACGGGAGAAAGCAGGGGACCUUCGGGCCUUGCGCUAUCAGAUGAGCCUAGGUCGGAUUAGCUAGUUGGUGGGUAAUGGCUCACCAAGGCGACGAUCCGUAACUGGUCUGAGAGGAUGAUCAGUCACACUGGAACUGAGACACGGUCCAGACUCCUACGGGAGGCAGCAGUGGGGAAUAUUGGACAAGUGGGCGAAAGCCUGAUCCAGCCAAUGCCGCGUGUGUGAAGAAGGUCGUCGUAGUUAGUAAAGCUACUUUUAACGGUGGAAGGUAAGGACUAAGUUACCGUAAUAACGUAUCGUAGUUUAGACGUUACCGACAAGUAAUAAGCACGACUAACGUCUG
This 501-nucleotide ribosomal RNA is filed under the name uncultured soil bacterium. RNAcentral's name for it is "bacterial SSU rRNA". It matches the Rfam family "Bacterial small subunit ribosomal RNA", at positions 26 to 506 of the family's 1533-position model. The record is from RNAcentral.